UGUGAUUGGAAGAACACAACUGUUGGCUUGU
RNAcentral lists this non-coding RNA (31 nucleotides) under Homo sapiens (human). The record is from RNAcentral. Lineage: Eukaryota; Metazoa; Chordata; Mammalia; Primates; Hominidae.